Molecule: ribosomal RNA, 891 nt
Filed under: Boeremia exigua var. exigua
Lineage: Eukaryota; Fungi; Ascomycota; Dothideomycetes; Pleosporales; Didymellaceae
Description: LSU rRNA
Rfam family: Eukaryotic large subunit ribosomal RNA
Source: RNAcentral
ACCCGCUGAACUUAAGCAUAUCAAUAAGCGGAGGAAAAGAAACCAACAGGGAUUGCCCUAGUAACGGCGAGUGAAGCGGCAACAGCUCAAAUUUGAAAUCUGGCGUCUUUGGCGUCCGAGUUGUAAUUUGCAGAGGGCGCUUUGGCAUUGGCAGCGGUCCAAGUUCCUUGGAACAGGACGUCACAGAGGGUGAGAAUCCCGUACGUGGUCGCUAGCCUUUACCGUGUAAAGCCCCUUCGACGAGUCGAGUUGUUUGGGAAUGCAGCUCUAAAUGGGAGGUAAAUUUCUUCUAAAGCUAAAUACUGGCCAGAGACCGAUAGCGCACAAGUAGAGUGAUCGAAAGAUGAAAAGCACUUUGGAAAGAGAGUUAAAAAGCACGUGAAAUUGUUGAAAGGGAAGCGCUUGCAGCCAGACUUGCCUGUAGUUGCUCAUCCGGGUUUUUACCCGGUGCACUCUUCUAUAGGCAGGCCAGCAUCAGUUUGGGCGGUUGGAUAAAGGUCUCUGUCACGUACCUCCUCUCGGGGAGAACUUAUAGGGGAGACGUAAUGCAACCAGCCUGGACUGAGGUCCGCGCAUCUGCUAGGAUGCUGGCGUAAUGGCUGUAAGCGGCCCGUCUUGAAACACGGACCAAGGAGUCUAACAUCUAUGCGAGUGUUUGGGUGUCAAGCCCGAGCGCGUAAUGAAAGUGAACGGGGGUGGGAACCUUUCGGGGUGCACCAUCGACCGAUCCUGAUGUCUUCGGAUGGAUUUGAGUAAGAGCAUAGCUGUUGGGACCCGAAAGAUGGUGAACUAUGCUUGAAUAGGGUGAAGCCAGAGGAAACUCUGGUGGAGGCUCGCAGCGGUUCUGACGUGCAAAUCGAUCGUCAAAUUUGGGCAUAGGGGCGAAAGACU